UAACUAUCUUUGCUCUUCUAUUGCUUGGUUUUCUCUAUUGCCAGCAAAGGGAAGGAACAUGACAGUCAUUCUUGUUACUUAAAAAUACUUUUCGUCUCAUGUAGUGAGGGUACAAACAAAUAAUAGUAAACUUGAAAACCACAUUACCUUCCCUUAGAAAUCAUUUUUAUGGGUUGCUGUGGCUUAGUAAAGGCAUGGUGCAGGCGUUUAAUCCUGGCACCCGAGAGGCUAAGACAGGCUGAUCUCUGUGAGUUCAAGGCCAUCCUGGUGUAUAUAGUGAGUUCAGGCAAGCCAGGGCUGUAUAGAGGGACUCAGUCUAAACCCCUUUACCUUCUACCCCACCCCCCAAAAGAAGACUGAUUAAUUGCAUAAGGGCUAGUCUUUAAUUUGUGGUAAACAAUUGUCUUUCAGCCACUACUAGUUUAUUAGUUAAUUUUAAUUUGUUUUAGGUGAGGGCUUGUUACCAUGCACUGACUGGUAAGUAUUUUAGAAGCCAAGUCUCAAUGUCUCAAUGGGAAUAAUUGAAAUGCUAGAUAAGCAGAGAGAUUUAACUGUCUUUGGAUUCUUUGUUUUUGUCUUUGUUUUUCGUUUUUGUUUUUGUUUUUUGUUUUUGUUUUUUUUUUGGUUUUUUUUGAGACAGGGUUUUUCUAUGUGUAGCCUGGGCUGUCCUGGAACUCCCACUAUAGACAAGGCUGGCCUUGAGCUCAGAGAUCUAACUGCCUCAGCCUCCCAAGUGCUGGGAUUCAAGGUGUGUGCCACCAUGCCCAACUGAGAUUUAACUGAGAAGCAAAGACUUUAUGAUCACAACAAAGUGCUUUAAGAAUACAAUCCAUGCUGAGUUUAUUCAGUGCAUGGUGACAUUACCGACAAAGACUAUUGUGGUAGUUUAGCUUAAGCCAGGGACGUUCAUUCUGGAAAAAAAAAACAAUCUUUAGGCAGUGUUGGAAGCUUUUUAAAAAACCAGGCCUCAUGGUAGUGGCACAAACCUUUCAUUCCAUCACUAAGGAGGCAGAGGUAGCUGGAUUCUCUGUGAAUUUCAGGCCACCCUGGUCUUCAUAAUAAGUUCCAGGACAGCCAGGGAUACAUAGUGAAACCCUGUCUCAAAAAACCAAUUAAUCAACCAACCAGCCAACCCUUUUCAAAAAACCCUUCAGUAAAGUUUGUGUUUCUAGCACUCAGAAGGCUGAGGUAAGUGGAUCUUGAGUUGUAGACCAACCUGUGCUACAUAGAGAAAUCCUAUCUCAAAAACAAAACUACC
Molecule: long non-coding RNA, 1258 nt
Filed under: Mus musculus (house mouse)
Lineage: Eukaryota; Metazoa; Chordata; Mammalia; Rodentia; Muridae
Description: predicted gene 43768
Source: RNAcentral